UUUACCCAAAAAGAAACGCUAAUGUUUAAUGAGAAUAAAUAGCUUCCCACCACUGCAUUUCUAGACACCACUGAACACCACUAUUCCAUUGUCUUCCCCUCUUUCUCUCUCAAGCUCUCUGGUCUCUGUUGCUUCUUCUUCUCCUUUUAGAAGGCUAUGAACAAAUCAAUGGCACUAGUUUUGCUCAUUAUGGUUCAACUCAGUCUGUUCUAUUCGCUUGGGGAGAGCUGUGACCUUCACAACAACGAAUUUCCGAUGGAGGAAGAAUGCACGACCGUAGCUUGCAAGGACUUAUGCGUCGAAAAAUUCCAAUUAACAACCAUAAGGGCUGGAUGCGAUUGUCUUCCAACAGAACCACACAACACUUGCAGAUGCCUCUCUUCAUGCCCUUCCUAUAUUGAAACAGGAAAGGCUCAUAUAUGUCCAUACCCAUCGAUUAGCACAUAUAUUGCUUUGAUGCUAACAUAUCUCUACCUGUAGCUGCUUAAUAUACCUUUGUGAACACUGUAACUGUAUGGGUUAAUUCACUAUUUCCAUAACAUUAGCCCAUGAUUGUCACCUUUUACCAUCUUUUCCAUAUCAAUAUACCAAGAGAUACAAAUUACUUCAA
Macadamia integrifolia is the source of this 610-nucleotide long non-coding RNA. RefSeq lists it as uncharacterized. The transcript has 2 exons. Lineage: Eukaryota; Viridiplantae; Streptophyta; Magnoliopsida; Proteales; Proteaceae. The record is from RefSeq and is a predicted model, not a curated record.